AUGCUCACUUUGGCAGUACGUAUACUAAAAUUGGAACAGUACUGAGAUUAGCAUGGCCCCUGCACAAAUAUGUGAAGCAUUCCAUAUUUUU
Molecule: small nuclear RNA, 91 nt
Organism: Oryctolagus cuniculus (rabbit)
Lineage: Eukaryota; Metazoa; Chordata; Mammalia; Lagomorpha; Leporidae
Source: Ensembl